Molecule: ribosomal RNA, 495 nt
Filed under: uncultured bacterium
Lineage: Bacteria
Description: bacterial SSU rRNA
Rfam family: Bacterial small subunit ribosomal RNA
Source: RNAcentral
AAAUGAAUAGACGGGGGCCCGCACAAGCGGAGGAACAUGUGGUUUAAUUCGAUGAUACGCGAGGAACCUUACCCGGGCUUGAAAUGCAGAGGAAUAAAGUGGAAACAUUUUAGUCAGCAAUGAUCUCUGUGUAGGUGCUGCAUGGUUGUCGUCAGCUCGUGCCGUGAGGUGUCGGCUUAAGUGCCAUAACGAGCGCAACCCUUAUCAAUAGUUACUAUCAGGUUAAGCUGAGGACUCUAUUGAGACUGCCACCGUAAGGUGCGAGGAAGGUGGGGAUGACGUCAAAUCAGCACGGCCCUUACGUCCGGGGCGACACACGUGUUACAAUGGGGGGUACAGAGGGUUGCUACCUAGCGAUAGGAUGCUAAUCUCUUAAAGCCUCUCUCAGUUCGGAUUGGAGUCUGCAACUCGACUCCAUGAAGCUGGAUUCGCUAGUAAUCGCGCAUCAGCCAUGGCGCGGUGAAUACGUUCCCGGGCCUUGUACACACCGCCCGU